RNAcentral lists this non-coding RNA (30 nucleotides) under Mus musculus (house mouse). Lineage: Eukaryota; Metazoa; Chordata; Mammalia; Rodentia; Muridae. The record is from RNAcentral.
UGAGUUAUUGAAUCAAUGGGAUCUUUAGAA